Molecule: transfer RNA, 67 nt
Filed under: Paenibacillus larvae
Lineage: Bacteria; Bacillati; Bacillota; Bacilli; Caryophanales; Paenibacillaceae
Description: tRNA-Met
Rfam family: tRNA
About the family: Transfer RNA (tRNA) molecules are approximately 80 nucleotides in length. Their secondary structure includes four short double-helical elements and three loops (D, anti-codon, and T loops).
Source: RNAcentral
GCGGGUGGAGAACCGGUAGCUCGUCGGGCUCAUAACCCGAAGGUCGUAGGUUCAACCUGCCCCCGCA